CCUCAAUCUCACUCUCUCUCGUUCUUUUCCUCAACUCAAAAACCAGCCCUCAACCAUCCUCUUUGACGGCGUGCAUGGGUCACGGCUGGUGGCCGGAUCACGGCGGCGGGCUCGAUGCAGAGGCAGGGGACUCGGUUCUCUCACUCCUUCGUCCUCCCAUCUCUCACUCUGCCUGGGCUCGAUGUCGCCUAGGGGUUCAAGGGCUCGACAGCGGCUGGGGGUUCAAGGGCUCGACGCGUGAGUGGGAUUCUCCGGGCUGGCUGGGCUCGACGGCGCGGGGGUCUCAGGGGGUGGGAUCGAUCGUGCAAGGACGGCGCUGGGAGGGGUUCAAGUUGGGCUGAGUUGGGUCUGGGUCGACUGUGCAGGGACGGUGGCUGGGCUCGGGCAGGGACGGUGGCUGUGCAGGGAGGGGCUAGUGUAGGUUUGGGAUUUGUUCUUUAACUGUUUGGAAAUUGUUCAAGCUUAUAUGAAGUUGGCUUCUGGGAUUUUUUCGGUCCUGUGGCUGAGGAUAUGUUCCAUUGGCAAGCAACAAUUAUGGGGCCUGCUGAUAGUCCAUAUGCAGGGGGCGUAUUCCUUGUUUCAAUUCAUUUUCCUCCGGAUUAUCCCUUUAAGCCUCCAAAGGUAAAGAAGAAGGGUGAUAAAGAUGAGAGGAAGCUCAAGAGAAGGAUGACCAAUCCAACUGUUUUUCUUUUUAUUAAUGGGCUUUGAUGUUUGUGGAUUUUAAUAUUUUUUUGGUUCCCAAUAAAAUACAUUAUCUGUGAUUGAACUUUCA
This is a long non-coding RNA of Humulus lupulus (European hop), 772 nucleotides long. RefSeq lists it as uncharacterized. The record is from RefSeq and is a predicted model, not a curated record. NCBI's taxonomy places the organism in Eukaryota, Viridiplantae, Streptophyta, Magnoliopsida, Rosales, Cannabaceae. The transcript has 3 exons.